This 90-nucleotide non-coding RNA is filed under the name Paraburkholderia bryophila. The record is from RNAcentral. Lineage: Bacteria; Pseudomonadati; Pseudomonadota; Betaproteobacteria; Burkholderiales; Burkholderiaceae.
UUCUAUGGGCGGGCGGUGACGAGGGAGCCGCGAGGCUCGCCGGUUUGUUAGUGACGGUCUUCCAACCUUGCCACGCGCCCGCUCACCCGU